Molecule: transfer RNA, 70 nt
Filed under: Zelandoperla fenestrata
Lineage: Eukaryota; Metazoa; Arthropoda; Insecta; Plecoptera; Gripopterygidae
Description: tRNA-Gln
Source: RNAcentral
UAUAUUUUAGUGUAUGAUGCACAAGAAUUUUUGAUGUUCUUAGUAAUAGUUUAAUUCUAUUAAAUAUAAU